UACGUAGGGUGCGAGCGUUAAUCGGAAUUACUGGGCGUAAAGCGUGCGCAGGCGGUGAUGUAAGACAGGUGUGAAAUCCCCGGGCUUAACCUGGGAACUGCAUUUGUGACUGCAUCGCUGGAGUGCGGCAGAGGGGGAUGGAAUUCCGCGUGUAGCAGUGAAAUGCGUAGAUAUGCUGAGGAACACCGAUGGCGAAGGCAAUCCCCUGGGCCUGCACUGACGCUCAUGCACGAAAGCGUGGGGAGCAAACAGG
This 253-nucleotide ribosomal RNA is filed under the name uncultured bacterium. RNAcentral's name for it is "partial 16S ribosomal RNA". It matches the Rfam family "Bacterial small subunit ribosomal RNA", at positions 524 to 776 of the family's 1533-position model. The record is from RNAcentral.